GAGGGUAUAGCUCAGUGGGAGAGCAUGUGCUUAGCAUGCAUGAGGUCCUGGGUUCAAUCCCCAGUACCUCCA
This 72-nucleotide transfer RNA is filed under the name Camelus bactrianus (Bactrian camel). It matches the Rfam family "tRNA". From Rfam's summary of the family: Transfer RNA (tRNA) molecules are approximately 80 nucleotides in length. Their secondary structure includes four short double-helical elements and three loops (D, anti-codon, and T loops). Lineage: Eukaryota; Metazoa; Chordata; Mammalia; Artiodactyla; Camelidae. The record is from Rfam by way of RNAcentral. RNAcentral also lists the same sequence under 1 other name.